GAAGAAUCUUCCAGAAAGAGCACUGGCGCAUUAGCGGAGACAAUAGUACCUAGAAUCUUGGUCAAGGUCCAUGAUGUUUGCCUACUACAUUUCAGCUGCUUUGUCUACCCAUUCAAAGGCUAUAUAGUGUUGGGCAUGGGUGAAGAGUCCACCAAGGCAGCCAUUGAGGACACUACUGUGGUGAUCUAUAUUAUCAAAGACCAUGCCGCGAGUGAGGAACCAGUAUCACCAAUAAAAGAAUGUUAAUUAUUAAGUAGUGAUCAGGAACAUGAUCAAAUCCAUUCAAAGCUACACAUUUAAUUCAAAUCAAAUUAGCUUAACCAAAUCAUGUUAGAUUGAUUCUAUUCCAUUACGAUGCAUUUUUACAUAAAUUAUAUUUGCAUGACAAAAAGAAAAUAAGUAA
Long non-coding RNA from Oncorhynchus kisutch (coho salmon), 403 nucleotides. RefSeq lists it as uncharacterized. The record is from RefSeq and is a predicted model, not a curated record. The transcript is spliced from 3 exons. NCBI's taxonomy places the organism in Eukaryota, Metazoa, Chordata, Actinopteri, Salmoniformes, Salmonidae.